GCAGUCGAACGGCAGCGCGGGGCAACCUGGCGGCGAGUGGCGAACGGGUGAGUAAUACAUCGGAACGUACCCAGAAGUGGGGGAUAACGUAGCGAAAGUUACGCUAAUACCGCAUACGAUCUACGGAUGAAAGUGGGGGACCUUCGGGCCUCAUGCUUUUGGAGCGGCCGAUGUCUGAUUAGCUAGUUGGUAGGGUAAAGGCCUACCAAGGCGACGAUCAGUAGCUGGUCUGAGAGGACGACCAGCCACACUGGGACUGAGACACGGCCCAGACUCCUACGGGAGGCAGCAGUGGGGAAUUUUGGACAAUGGGCGCAAGCCUGAUCCAGCAAUGCCGCGUGAGUGAAGAAGGCCUUCGGGUUGUAAAGCUCUUUUGUCAGGGAAGAAACGGGAUUGGAUAAUACCUAGUCCUAAUGACGGUACCUGAAGAAUAAGCACCGGCUAACUACGUGCCAGCAGCCGCGGUAAUACGUAGGGUGCAAGCGUUAAUCGGAAUUACUGGGCGUAAAGCGUGCGCAGGCGGUUUUGUAAGUCUGACGUGAAAGCCCCGGGCUCAACCUGGGAAUUGCGUUGGAGACUGCAAGGCUUGAAUCUGGCAGAGGGGGGUAGAAUUCCACGUGUAGCAGUGAAAUGCGUAGAGAUGUGGAGGAACACCGAUGGCGAAGGCAGCCCCCUGGGUCAAGAUUGACGCUCAUGCACGAAAGCGUGGGGAGCAAACAGGAUUAAUACCCUGGUAGUCCACGCCCUAAACGAUGUCUACUAUUGUCGGGUUUUAAUUAACUUGGUAACGCAGCUAACGCGUGAAGUAGACCGCCUGGGGAGUACGGUCGCAAGAUUA
This 838-nucleotide ribosomal RNA is filed under the name uncultured bacterium. Its description in RNAcentral is "bacterial SSU rRNA". It matches the Rfam family "Bacterial small subunit ribosomal RNA", at positions 57 to 896 of the family's 1533-position model. The record is from RNAcentral.